GAUGAACGCUAGCUACAGGCUUAACACAUGCAAGUCGCGGGGCAGCAUUUUCUUAGCUUGCUAAGGAAGAUGGCGACCGGCGCACGGGUGAGUAACGCGUAUCCAACCUUCCCAUGUCCACGGGAUAGCCCGUCGAAAGGCGGAUUAAUACCGUAUGAGGUCACAUGCGGGCAUCUAAGUGUGACGAAAGGUUUGGCGGACAUGGAUGGGGAUGCGUCCGAUUAGCUAGUUGGCGGGGUAACGGCCCACCAAGGCGACGAUCGGUAGGGGUUCUGAGAGGAAGGUCCCCCCACAUUGGAACUGAGACACGGUCCAAAACUCCUACGGGAGGCAGCAGUGAGGAAUAUUGGUCAAUGGACGUAAGUCUGAACCAGCCAAGUAGCGUGCAGGAUGACGGCCCUAUGGGUUGUAAACUGCUUUUAUGCGGGGAUAAAGUGUGGGACGUGUCCCAUAUUGCAGGUACUGCAUGAAUAAGGACCGGCUAAUUCCGUGCCAGCAGCC
RNAcentral lists this ribosomal RNA (501 nucleotides) under uncultured bacterium. RNAcentral describes it as "bacterial SSU rRNA". It matches the Rfam family "Bacterial small subunit ribosomal RNA", at positions 28 to 516 of the family's 1533-position model. The record is from RNAcentral.